Molecule: long non-coding RNA, 277 nt
Organism: Mytilus trossulus (common blue mussel)
Lineage: Eukaryota; Metazoa; Mollusca; Bivalvia; Mytilida; Mytilidae
Exons: 3
Source: RefSeq, a predicted model, not a curated record
UAUGUCUUCUUUGACUUUGGAAUUUUUGAAGUACAGCUUCUGGUUGGUUAACUUGUUUGCACCUAAGUACAUGGAUCUCAGCCACCAACAGUUUGUGUGACCACCACCACACACGUAUGAGCUAGUGGGACAUUUAGAGCAGUCGCCGGUAUAACACCGCACAGUAGCAUCAAGCACUCUAGAACCUUCAAACAUUUUGGAUGUGGACGUAAUAACUUGGCAGAUCCAGGAUUUCCCUCGACAUCUGGUAAACUGUAGGAGGUGCCGUCUUGCCCGG